CACAUAUAUCUAUCUAUACCAAAUACAUCCUUAAACUUUAUUAUUACCACAUCUCGUUUUCAACUGUUUAAAAUUUCAAACCAGACGACGCCGUUGUAAUACAACCCCUAGGCCAAGUUGCAAACAGAGGAGAAAGCAAGACCAAGAUUGCCAUACCAUUCUGCCACUCCGACUCUAUUUUCUCCGCCGUUGCUACUGAAAAAAGUUUUGUGAUGCUAUGAGUGUAAGAUGGCCAAGGAUUCUUACACCAACACAUCUCUCUCAGAUUAUAAAGAGCCAAAAGAAUCCAUUAACAGCUUUGCAUCUCUUUAACCAAGCAAAACACAAAUACCCCAACUAUCAUCACAAUGGUCCAGUCUAUGCCACCAUGAUUUCCAUCCUCGGAAACUCGGGUCGAAUUUCCGAGAUGAAAGAUGUUAUUGGUCAGAUGCAAGAAGAUUCCUGUGAGUGCAAAGAUAAAGUCUUUGCAAAUGCAAUCAAGACUUACACGAAUGCGGGCCUUCUAAAUGAAGCUAUAUCUCUCUUUAAGAGCAUUCCGCAAUUCAAUUGUGUAAAUUGGACGGAAUCUUUUAAUACUCUUUUGCAAAUAUUGGUUAGAGAAUCUAAGCUUGAAUCAGCUCACCGUCUCUUCUUGGAGAACUCGUGUGGUUGGGAAGUGAAGUCUCGUGUUCGUUCGUUGAACUUGCUUAUGGAUGUUCUUUGUCAAUGUAACCGCUCUGACUUUGCUUUACAGAUCUUCGAAGAAAUGAAUUAUCAGGGUUGCUACCCGGAUAGGGAUAGUUAUCGAAUUGUUAUGUCGGGUUUGUGUAAAGAUGGGAGGCUGAAUGAGGCUACUCAUUUAUUGUAUUCGAUGUUUUGGAGGAUAUCUCUAAAGGGAAGUGGUGAGGAUAUUGUAAUUUAUAGAAUUCUUUUGGAUGCUUUAUGUGAUAAUGAUAUGGUUGAAGAGGCUUUAGACGUUCUCGGCAAGAUCUUAAGGAAGGGGCUGAAGGCUCCUAAAAGCUGUCACCCCCGUCUUGACCUCAAUAAAUGCAAUAGUGAGAACAGAGAACUCACUAAGCGAUUGAUUAAUGAAGCUCUAACCAGAGGUGCUAUCCCUAGUUUGGGUAGUUAUACUGCUAUGUCUAUCGAUCUUUAUGCUGAAGGUAAGAUUAGUCAAGCUAAUAAAGUGCUUGAUGAGACACAGGAUAGAGGCUAUAGACCAUCUCUUUUAGCUUAUGAAGCAAAGGUGGCUGCAUUGUGUAAGGAAGGUAAAGUUCACGAAGCAGUCAAUGUAUUUGAAGUGGAAAUGGUGGAGGCAAAUUGUGUCCCAAAUGUGAGAUUGUAUAAUAUCUUGUUGAAAGGCCUGUGUGAGUUGGGGAAUUCAGCAACAGCUGUUAAGUAUUUGAAGAAGAUGGCAAAGCAGAUUGGCUGUGCUGCAAACAAGGAAAGCUACUGCAUUUUAGUGAAUGGGCUAUGUCGAGAUGGUGCAUUUAUUGAAGCAAGUCGACUUCUGGAGGAGAUGUUAACUAAAUCACACUGGCCUCCUGUUGACACUUUCAACAUGCUUAUACAAGGUCUUUGCUCAGUGGACAGGCAAUAUGAAGCUGUUAUGUGGUUGGAGGAGAUGAUUAGCAUGGGUGAGCUGCCGCAAAUUUCGCUAUGGAACUCCCUCGUAAGUUGUGUGUGUUCUAACAUAGCUAACACUGAAGCUGGUUGUGAAGCAUUUAAUCAGCUCAGUAGAUGUUAGUUUCUGUAGCAGCAUUCUCAUGUUUGUAGUCGAUUCUGAUGACAUAAUGAGAAGCAAUCAAGCCAGUGGAGAUCAGGAUUAAACUAGGCAGAACAAGAAGAGAAAUGCUUCAGUGUUGAUUGAUACUCAUACACUUCCCCUUCAAUUCAGCCUUCGCUAAUUGCAUUUGCUGAGAUGGUCAACUACCUCGUUCCGGCUCGUAUAAUGAAGGAAGCUGGAGUGUAGAAGAUCUGCAAAUUUGCACCUCUACUGCUUUACUCAUCGCCAUGGCUAACCUGGUUUUCUUUUGUAACAUCAAAUUAUUGUCAUGAGACUUUUGUUGCACCAUGAUAUUGAGUUGACUUUUGAUGAAAGAAUUAUAAGUUGUUUUCUCAGUAUUUCCAGUUUUAGAAAUUCAUUGUGCUCAUGGUGAUUAGACUAA
RNA transcript from Mercurialis annua (annual mercury), 2147 nucleotides. It is a transcript of the gene named pentatricopeptide repeat-containing protein At1g05600-like, with no coding region annotated. NCBI's taxonomy places the organism in Eukaryota, Viridiplantae, Streptophyta, Magnoliopsida, Malpighiales, Euphorbiaceae. The transcript is spliced from 4 exons. The record is from RefSeq and is a predicted model, not a curated record.